This 300-nucleotide ribosomal RNA is filed under the name uncultured Sulfophobococcus sp. Its description in RNAcentral is "bacterial SSU rRNA". It matches the Rfam family "Bacterial small subunit ribosomal RNA", at positions 496 to 795 of the family's 1533-position model. Lineage: Archaea; Thermoproteati; Thermoproteota; Thermoprotei; Desulfurococcales; Desulfurococcaceae. The record is from RNAcentral.
GGAUACGUCGGGCCGUGGGGCGCGGUAAAGCUAAGGGUGCAAACGUUGCUCGGAAUUGUUGGGCGGAAAGCGUACGUAGGCGGCGUAGGAAGUCCCAUGUGAAAGCCCACGGCUUAACCGUGGAAGUGCAUGGGAAACUGCUGAGCUUGAGUACGUAAGAGGAUCGCGGAAUUCCCGGUGUAGAGGUGAAAUUCGUAGAUAUCGGGAGGAACACCAGUGGCGAAGGCGGCGAUCUGGGAAGAUACUGACGCUGAGGUGCGAAAGCGUGGGGAGCAAACAGGAUUAGAUACCCCAGUAGUC